AGAGUUUGAUCCUGGCUCAGAUUGAACGCUGGCGGCAUGCCUUACACAUGCAAGUCGAACGGCAGCACGGGUGCUUGCACCUGGUGGCGAGUGGCGAACGGGUGAGUAAUGUAUCGGAACGUACCAUUCAGUGGGGGAUAACUAUCCGAAAGGAUAGCUAAUACCGCAUAUUCUGUGAGCAGGAAAGCAGGGGAUCGCAAGACCUUGCGCUGAUUGAGCGGCCGAUAUCAGAUUAGCUAGUUGGUGGGGUAAAAGCCUACCAAGGCGACGAUCUGUAGCGGGUCUGAGAGGAUGAUCCGCCACACUGGAACUGAGACACGGUCCAGACUCCUACGGGAGGCAGCAGUGGGGAAUUUUGGACAAUGGGGGCAACCCUGAUCCAGCCAUGCCGCGUGUAUGAAGAAGGCCUUAGGGUUGUAAAGUACUUUUGUUAGGGAAGAAAAGUCAGCUGUGAAUAAUGGCUGAUACUGACGGUACCUAAAGAAUAAGCACCGGCUAACUACGUGCCAGCAGCCGCGGUAAUACGUAGGGUGCGAGCGUUAAUCGGAAUUAUUGGGCGUAAAGCGAGUGUAGACGGUUAUUUAAGCCAGAUGUGAAAUACCCGAGCCUAACUUGGGAGGUGCAUAUGGAACUGGGUAGCUAGAGUGUGUCAGAGGGAGGUAGAACUCCACGUGUAGCAGUGAAAUGCGUAGAGAUGUGGAAGAAUACCGAUGGCGAAGGCAGCCUCCUGGGAUAACACUGACGUUGAGGCUCGAAAGCGUGGGGAGCAAACAGGAUUAGAUACCCUGGUAGUCCACGCCCUAAACGAUGACAAUUAGCUGUUGGCCCCAUUAAGGGGUGAGUAGCGAAGCUAACGCGUGAAAUUGUCCGCCUGGGGAGUACGGUCGCAAGAUUAAAACUCAAAUGAAUUGACGG
This 915-nucleotide ribosomal RNA is filed under the name uncultured beta proteobacterium. Its description in RNAcentral is "bacterial SSU rRNA". It matches the Rfam family "Bacterial small subunit ribosomal RNA", at positions 8 to 916 of the family's 1533-position model. The record is from RNAcentral. Lineage: Bacteria; Pseudomonadati; Pseudomonadota; Betaproteobacteria.